GCAGCCGCCGCGGGAAUACAGAGGGUGCGAGCGUUAAUCGGAUUUACUGGGCGUAAAGCGUGCGUAGGCGGCUUUUUAAGUCGGAUGUGAAAUCCCUGAGCUUAACUUAGGAAUUGCAUUCGAUACUGGGAAGCUAGAGUAUGGGAGAGGAUGGUAGAAUUCCAGGUGUAGCGGUGAAAUGCGUAGAGAUCUGGAGGAAUACCGAUGGCGAAGGCAGCCAUCUGGCCUAAUACUGACGCUGAGGUACGAAAGCAUGGGGAGCAAACAGGAUUAGAUACCCCAGUAGUCCCUGUCUCUUAUAA
RNAcentral lists this ribosomal RNA (302 nucleotides) under uncultured bacterium. RNAcentral's name for it is "partial 16S ribosomal RNA". It matches the Rfam family "Bacterial small subunit ribosomal RNA", at positions 508 to 809 of the family's 1533-position model. The record is from RNAcentral.